This is a long non-coding RNA of Venturia canescens, 430 nucleotides long. RefSeq lists it as uncharacterized. The record is from RefSeq and is a predicted model, not a curated record. NCBI's taxonomy places the organism in Eukaryota, Metazoa, Arthropoda, Insecta, Hymenoptera, Ichneumonidae. The transcript has 3 exons.
CAAGCGGACCACAUAUAAAACCGAAGACACGUGCGUAACGGAGGUGAACCAGUCUGUGAUCCGCGGUGAACAGUGUUCGAACGUUUGUCCAGGCGAUCUACCGGGUGGCUGAAACCAAGCACAUCGUCGAGUCCCUCGCAAUCAAAAGUCCUUCGGAUGAUUGCCCAUGAUUACUUUAAAUGACGAUCAGGGAAGUAAUAACAAGCCACAGUCCAAAAUACGUAACGAGAAUAACCAACCACCCAAACCACCUUGCCGCGAACCUACUGAAUGAAGAAAGUAUAAGAAUGAGGAUGAAAAGACACAAACCGAAAGACCCAAGUGUAAGAUUGUAAAACGGAACCAACAAUAAAUCGUCAACAACAAAGGAUCCGACAUCAAUCGAUGUCAACUUGGCUCGUGCAAACAUCAAUACACCCCACAAAAUUGC